This is a long non-coding RNA of Scylla paramamosain (green mud crab), 6553 nucleotides long. RefSeq lists it as uncharacterized. The transcript has 2 exons. Lineage: Eukaryota; Metazoa; Arthropoda; Malacostraca; Decapoda; Portunidae. The record is from RefSeq and is a predicted model, not a curated record.
UAUAUAUAUAUAUAUAUAUAUAUAUAUAUAUAUAUAUAUAUAUAUAUAUAUAUAUAUAUAACUUGAUAUGGAAGUGACAAGAAUUAGAUCAUAUAAAUUAUUUCUCAAAGCUGGAAUGGUAUUAUCUCUACAUGCACACAAAAAAAGACAUAGAAAAUUUAAAGAAUGCAUUCUCAUAGAGCAGAGAUCAUGAUAGCCCAAAGCCUGAGAAACCACUGAAGAGAGACUGAGGCCACCAACCCAAAAGGAAAGAAUGAAAAUUAACAUCUAAAUACAUUGUAUAAGGCAUGAACAGGGUAGAGAAUGGGACACACAUGAUCUAUUUUCAUGAGACAAAGGGAGUACAAGGAGAAUGGAAAAAGUUUAUAGGAUCUACAGAAGAAAUAUAAAAAUUUAUGGCUUUCCAUGGAGAUUCACACAUAUUUGGAGCAACAUAGAUGGAGAAGUGAUUCAUACAAGAAAAUUUUUAAUUUCUUGUAUAAUUAUGAAAUUUGUAAUUUCUUUUAAUAUAAAUAGUUGAGAAUGAAUUUGGUAGAAACAAAGUUGAGAAGGAUCCAAAAAUUUGUGUUGCAGCUUCAUGGAAGUCAGAAAAAGAGCAGUCUGCCAUAUUUGCUUUCUCUUUCAAGAAUCAUUUCCCUUAAUGUAGAUUUUGUCUCCUUCCACAUGGCCAUUUUUCUUAAUAUAACUGAAUAAUUACAUUUAAGUUCUGUGUACAAGAUUAUGGUGAAAUUACCAAUGCCACUCCAUACACUAUUUUGCCAGCUCUUCUCCUUUGGGUUAGCUCUCAGUCCAUCAAGAAAUGCCUGGGGUGCCUUAAAUUUAAGGAGAUCUUUAUAAUAAGAAUGCUAGGCUGGAUAGAGUUAAAUUCAACAGCUUGGCAAAAGUAAAUGCUUCUUUAUUAUUUUGUGUAUAUUUAUUUACAAUUUGAAUUUAGACUUUAUUUUUUUUAAAUACUCUCGUCAUUAUGCUUCAAAUAAUUUUUUAACAUAAUUCUUGUGGGAUUUACAUUUAACAAUUACUGGUUUAUUAUAUUUUGUUUAAACCUGCCACUAAGACAAAAUUUAAUUUAAUUUUCCUUAUCCAACUGCAUAUAUUUUAGUAGACAAGGAAACAAGACAAUAUGAACACAGCUCUUUUUUUGUCCGUAAACAUAUUAUUAGUGAUAAAUACUUAUUCAAAUCUGCAUGUGCAUGCUCCAAAUUACUAGGUUUUAUGUGAAUGACACAUAAAACAGGAAAGGAAUGGAUGAGUAGAUUUUGUAUAUUUGGAUCUAAAGAAACCAUUUAACAAGGUCUCACACAGAAGACUUGUUAUGAAAAUUGGAAAAUUGAGGACUGAAGGGAACAAUUAAGAACUAAAUGAAGACUAUUUGACAAGAAGGUCAAUGAGAGCAAUGGUAAGAGAUGAAAAAUCAGUGAAGUGAAGUAGCAAGUGGGGUACCACAGGGAUAAUUUUGGUUGUACACUCUGCAGCUGUGUUGAAAGGCAACUGAAAGGAACAAAAUGAGGGGAUUGAAACUCCUUCCCCUGUGUUUUCUUUCUCCAUAAAGGAGUAUCUUAGAAAUAAAAACAAGUGAAGGUAAAUUAUAUGCUCAAAGAAGUAAGUUAUAUAGCUACAAGUCUGUCUGCAUAUGAUACUCAUACAAAAUCAUUGAGGAAUAUUUCAAGAAACCUCAAGGAUUCUGAAGGCAUAGAGUGAUUUUAAAAAAUAUGAAUGAAAUACAAGAUGAGAAUUGGAAUUUAAUGCAAGUAAAUGUAAUGCAAUGUAAGUGGAAAAGUAAACACAGACACAGGCCUAAAAGUCGCAAAAUAACAUAAUAUGAAAAGUAAAUGAAGAAAAUGAGAGACUAGUGAGUAUCACAAGAAAAGCACAUUCACAAGAUGUUUGUUAUUAUAUACUAGGAGGAUGCUGAAAAAAAUAAAAGUGGAUGUCCUUUCACUUCCAGAAUAAUCAUCGAGUAAUAACAGUGUUUGAUUAGACAAAGUAGAAUAUGUAUGUUAAACUUGUGUGGUCUUCUCACAAGAAAUAAAUUGUAAAGAAAUUGUAAAGAAUACAAAUAAAGGAAUUAAGAUGUGGAAUAGUUGGAAAAUCUAUCUUAUAAGGGAAAAUUAAAAGAAAUGAGACUAUCAUCAAUAGAAGAAAGAAGAAAGUGAGGAGAUAUAAUUACAAAAUAAAUAUCAAUAACUAAACUGAAAAAAAAGAUAUAUGAGAAAUCUACUAUUGUAUGAGAUAAACAGAGAUUGGGCAUUUGAGGCAACACAAGAAAAUAAAUCUGUUUGAUUUAUAUUUUAAAAAAUGUGUCUUUCUCUUUAGAUAUAGAUAUAUGUAAAGGACUAUGAGAAUAGAAGGAGUGUGCAUUAACUACAAAUAAGACUGGAAGAAUAAAGAUGCAAAGGUGGAAACAUGAAUGUAGAUCAGUCCCUGCAUACAGCUUGGUAUGCACACACACACACACACACACACACACACACACACACACACACACACACACACACACUUUCUGACACAUACAAUAAGCUUGAGUAAGAGGUACUUCAUGCCAGAAACAUUCAUGAGUUCAAGGAGAAACUUGAUAACCUGACAUAUAGAGACAGGACCCUGCAAGCCUAGCUCACUUCCUAUAUAUUACAACUAAGUAGAGACACACUCAACAUCAUCAAAACUCUAAGGGCAAAACUCGUUUUUUUUUUUUUUUUCCAAAAAAAUAUUAAAUAGGUAAAUGAACAAAAGUUAUGCCCCCACAAAGUUCAACGUGAUUGCAGAUCACAACUAUUAUGUUAUAUUAUUAUUAUUAUUAUUAUUAUUAUUAUUAUUAUUAUUAUUAUUAUUAUUAUUAUAGAGAAAGCCCUUUUUUCUUUUUCAUACAAUUUUCCCCUGAUGAGUCAGGGAUGGGAUGGUGGCUCCUAAUGGAGGACUUUGGUUUGGCAUUUGGGAACUGUUACUCCAAGUGGUGCUCUUACUAACCAUGGAUCAUGGCUACAAUUUGAACCUGUGUACUUGAGAAUCCAUCAGCCUAAUUGUACAUGUAGUACCAUUGUACCAUGGCAACCCCACAACUUUUAUAUUGUAAUGAAUUACAAGUAUUGGGAUCUAAUACAAGUUGUUUACUACUACUUCAGCAUUCCUCCUCCCACUACAGUGCUUCAAGGGAGUGGGAUUAAUGACUCUCAUAAUAAUAUAACAAUCUCACUAUAGUACUUCUUAGAAAAGUUUAGAUUGUUUCAAUUUAUUGCAAGCAAACUUUUAUAAGGUACAUUGCCAUAAAUUAAAAGAAAAGGUUUUACUGAUAAGAAGUGAAAUAGUAAAUGAAACACAGAUCAAAUUGGUCAGAGGCACAGUCUCUCUAAGAGGUCAAUAGUGAAGAUAUUUAAUUUUGUAGUUCUUAGUCUUCCUAAUGUAAUACUAUUAGAUAUGAUCAAUAACACUUUGAACAGCUUUUUACAUAAUCUAGUUAAACGUCAGAGACCAUAACAUUGUUUUUACAAUACAAAAUCUAACAUGAAUCACUUAGUCUUCUUUCUUGAAUGGCACAAAUAUAGACAUAAAACAAUGCAGGAUAUACAUUAACAGAUACAGCUAUGUGUGUGUGAAAAGAAUUUCUAUAGUACUCUAUAUUCUGGCAGCUAUUAUUGUUCUGAAGUUAUCAUUCCAUUGAGGGAUUCUGCCCCUAAAAUUCAACACCUGACAGGAGCACUGCCUCCCAGCUAGCAUGUACCAUUUAAAGGUUGUAGUGAAUAAAUGGCUGAUUUCAUUCUUGAAAGAUUAAAUUCAUAAUUUAAAAAUUUUAUGGUUCCACAGACUCUUGGUUUAUUUAUUCAUAUAUUUAUUUAUUUAUUAUACAGUUUGUAACUUUAUGUUUUUGAAUGCUGAGAGGAACCUUAAUUUUUUUUUUCAGCAGAUAAGAACACUUUGUCUUCAUACUUUUAUGUGAUGUACUACUGUUUAAACUAGAAGCACCCUAUUCUGCUAGCUUUCCUUUACUUAUGGUUGAAAUUUACAUAUGUGCGAAGAAAUUCAUGAUCUCAUUUAUCUUUCAAUGUUCAAGCUAAAUGUGGUAAUAAAUUAUGUAUAUACUGUAUUCAUACAUGCAGCAGGCACAAUUAAGAAGCUAUUUUUGCUGUCACUAAUGCCUAACAUGAUGAAGCUGCCUUUAUAGUCCUCCACACCUUGCAGGAUUAUCAGGUGAAAUAUUUUAUACUUACAAGUAAAUGGUGUGCAUUUAAAAUUUAUUUUAUAAUAGUUAGUAGGAAAAUCUUAAAUAGAUGUAAAAUAAUGAAGGUGAAAUUUUGAGUAAAAAACAGAUGCAUCAGACAGCUGCUGCUCAUAAUGCCUUAGCGAGUUGGUCUGUCAGCUCAGCAACAAAACACAAGACCCAAGUAGGAUUCAGUUGAGAGAAAUCUCUCUUGGGUUGCUGUAUGAAGCCUUCAGAGCACAGAAGGCCAAGCAGGACCCUCAGUGGAGAGACACAAGAUAACAACAGAUCAAGGAGUACCAGGAUGAAGUUCACACAUCAUUCACUCACAAGACAAAAAAAAAGUACAGUAUCUUAAGAUUUGAACAAGUACUACACAUCAUUAGGGAAUGGGAAGUGACUAGCACCAGAAAGUAAUACAACAAACAAAUAAAGAUUUUCCACAAACCUUGAUCACUACAAUGUAAAACAAAGGAAGGCCAAUAAUGAAUUUAAAUAGAUGAAUAUACGGUUUAUUUAUUCUCCUGUACAAAGUUCCACCACCACCUGCCUCUAUGUGACUACUCCUGCUUCUUAUCUACAGGUGAGAAAUAAAAUGUUAUGCAGACACUUUCUCUGCUUGAGGACAAACUGUUUUGAUGUCCUCAGUCUACACUGGUAAACUGAACUCUCUUCAUUCUAACUUAUAGACAGGAUCUAAGCUUAUAUACUGGACAUUUAGUGCUCCAUUAUCAUUAAUAUACAUGUAAAAUGAGUUUUAAUUAAGAAGUAAAAAGCUGUUAUUUCUCACAUACUAUGCAUAAAAUUCUGAAAGGCACUAGCAAAUAUAUUUUGCAAUAUGUAUAUUUUCUGAUCAUUCAGUUGCCACAUAAACAGCCUCACAAAGUCAAACUUCCUCUCCAGGUGUGACUCAUCCAAGGGAAGGGAGUGGUUCCUUGAAGCCAAAACACUGCACUGGGGAUCUCAAUUAUAACAAGAUUCCUUCAUCCUCUUCGGCUUCCUAUUGGCGGUAAUUUUGAAGUUUAAAAUUGUGCAGACUUUAUGACAGAAAGACACCACAGAAAAAACAGACCUUAUGAUAUCUAAUGUUUUUAGUGGUCAUGUCGAAAUACAACAGGAAUAAGUUUCCCAUGCUUCUGAGUACACAGGCAGAGAGAAGCUGGCUGCUACAGGUCCCCACAAAAGUGCUCAUCAAGCCCUUGGGUAGUUAUAUGUAUGAUGCAUUCCUCACACAAAAUUUCAGUUAUGUAGUAAAAUAUUUCUUGCAUCAUAUGGCAAAGUAUCUUUUUUAGAUUGAAGCAAUGAAUGUAUGUCUGCUGUCCACAAUGUGAGGAGCAAGUGGGCCACAGGUGCAACCUGGCACUGUCCACACACAUUUCAAGCAGAGAGUGCCUCACCCUCACUCAUGGCUUUCCAAGUGCAGCUAACAGUAAUUUUGAGAUCAGUAUACAUAGCAACUUAAAAUUAUUCAUCUUAAGAUAUUACAAUGAAAUACAAAAAUAGUACAUAUUAUUACAGAAUAACAGAUCAAGAUUCAUCAUUCACAAGUAAAAGAGUUUAUUGAGAACAUUCAAUAUUCUGAACUAUCAGUCUCUGAAGUAAUAUACUUGAUAUUGCUUAUUCUUUUACCUGUUAAAUUGGAGCAUAAAAUAGAAAAUUACAAGCACAUAAGAAACAAGUUUUCAGUGCAUGAAAAUAACAGUUAUAAUAAUAAGGAACAUAUAAGCUUUGAUCCUCACUAUGUCACAUAAUAAACAAGUUUUUAAUACAUGAAAAUAAUAAAGUUAUAAUAAUAAUGAACACAUAAGCUGUGAUCCUCACUAUCUUCUGACCUGAUGGAAUGCAGCCACCACUACACCAACAGUGACUCUCCAGGAAACAUGACAUGAUGGAAACAAAGGGGACUUUUUUUUUUUUGUCUGACAGUGAAAGGAGAGUUGCUAACUAUUGACAAGACUGAUCCUGUUCAGACAUUAAAUUAUUUGACAUACAGUAUAUUAAUCUACCAUUCAUAGCCAUAAAUAUACCUACAAGCCAUAUAACUUUACUCCAAAGAGCUGUAUUCAGAACAUCAGAAAUUCUCAUUUAAUAAAUUUUAUAAAUUUUCACACAAGUGUUAUAGUUCUCUUCAUAAAUAAGACCUAAUUUUACCAUACUAGUGUCUGACCAUUUUAUCCUGGGCAUUUAGGAAUUGUCUUUUCCAUGGAUUUCUCAGCCUGCGGCACUGCCAAACUUUGUACCAGGCAAACUAUCAGAUUAGAGCCAAAGUUUCAAUGAUAACCUCAUUCCCCACACAACACCACCUCUCUCUCUCUCUCUCUCUCUCUCUCUCUCUCUCUCUCUCUCUCUUUGCAUAAAGAA